UUCCCCUUCCCUCCUAUCACUGACGCGAGGGCGGUCUUCGCCACGCUGGGAUUGGGCGAGCCUGCCUGUCAAUCAAUUGCUGUGCUGGGCGAAGAGCUGGGGCUGCUUCGCGGAGAGGGAGUGAGAGAGACUGAAGCGCCCUGCCUGUCUCUGGGUUUUGAUGCUUUUGUGUCUCUGGCUGAUUAUUCUGGGGGCCUUCCUCCUCAGCGCUACAGGAGAGUCCAUAGCAAAACUGACUGCUUUCCGAGUUAAGCCCCGACUGCUCUGGGAGCUUCCUUCUGGUUUCUACACCUGAAGAAGGUCUUACCAGCGGAAAGUUGUUAGGGACGGGGAGCGAAAAUGAAAAGCAAACAAAAAGGCCUGAACGUGGAGUCCUGAGAGAAAAAUAAUUAUUCAUUUGGAUCCUAGUAGAGGAAUAUGGUUCACUUGCAGUCAAGCAUAAAUCACCUGUGGCCCCUUCCUGGCCUCAAGUUGAGAGGGCAAGUGGACCAAGAAAAUCUGGGCAGCAACUCCAUCUAUAUCCUGUAAUUAGGAUCUGAAGUCAAUAAUGAUUUUAAGGAAUGGGAAGGAGGAAUGGUCUUCAUGAUAGUUUAAAGGCCUCUUAUAUUUGGACCAAAUUGAUUGGCUUUUGAAAGUCGGACAUUUUGUCCCUUGUUGUGAGAUCCUGGAUUCUGAUUCUGUGAGUCUUAACUGGUCUCUCCAAUCUUUGUGCUCCAUUAUCUCUGGCACAUACUGUUAUGAAGUAAAUGUCUGUUGGAUGGAAUGGAAUGGAUUUGAAAACCGAGAAGUGGAAGACAUGGAAAAGAAUGAGGAAUGAUGUUAACUCCUGACAUCUCUAUAGAAUCUCAUAGACCCACAUAUCCACUUCUGCUCUCUUACAUCACUGUUGAAUCAAUGGGAUAGAUCUAUGACCAUCCCAGGAAAAGACACAAGAUAACAAUGUUGAAGUUUUCUCACUGAAUGUAAAUGAGGAAAGAGUUUUUGAUGGCCAGGGGAAGAUUGUGAAAGAAUAAAUACGAGAUACGUCAAGAGGAUUUAUGUCGAGAUACGUCAAGAGGAUUCAUGUUUCUCUCUUUGUUCCCUGUUCAAAUGUCAUCUAUGAGAGAAACUGGCUGAGAUGAGUAGUGAAAUAAAGUGUGUCUUCAUUCAUUUUUUGUGUUUAUUUAGGAUCAGUACACUGGUUUUGAAAAACUUUGAGGUAACCAUCCAAUUAGAGUUAAAGGAAAAAUGAAACCACAGGAAAUAUCAAGCACAGAUGCUUCCAAGCAUCUGGGAAGUACUCU
Molecule: non-coding RNA, 1283 nt
Organism: Odocoileus virginianus texanus
Lineage: Eukaryota; Metazoa; Chordata; Mammalia; Artiodactyla; Cervidae
Source: RefSeq, a predicted model, not a curated record